Globicephala melas (long-finned pilot whale) is the source of this 602-nucleotide long non-coding RNA. RefSeq lists it as uncharacterized. NCBI's taxonomy places the organism in Eukaryota, Metazoa, Chordata, Mammalia, Artiodactyla, Delphinidae. The record is from RefSeq and is a predicted model, not a curated record.
AGGGGCGAGCGAACCAAUCGUCCGCACCCGGGCCGGAGAAGAGCGGCGCGCCCGAGGGGCAGGGUCCCGAGAAGAGGCGGGAGAGCGAGGAGAGCGACCGCGAACCCCCCACCAGCCAGUGCCCACCAGCAGCUCGGCGGGCCAGCUCCUCACGCUCGCCAGAGGGGAGCCGCUAGGGGGGCGGCGGAAGCGCUCACGCCGCCCGCUCCUUCCGCCGCCGCCGCCGCUGCCCGAACCGGGGGGCGCCCGCGGGAGAAGGAGGCGAAGUAGUCCCUGGUGAUUUCUCCGGGACGCCGCCUUCCCGGAGGGCCAGAGCGGGUGUGGAAACCGAAAACUGAAAAAAGAAAGGAAAUGCUAUGAUGUGGCCAUUUUCUCUGCUACAGAAGGCGCGGAGGAUGACUGACCCUCCGGGCAAGGGUCUCUCUUACGGACUCUUCUCUUCUUGCCUCCCACAUCAGCUACUCCCGCCCAGCUCUCCUCCUGAGGAGCGAGGUCCCUAAGAACCACACAGGCUUAUUUCAAGUGAAAAAGACCACCUGUUGAUGUGGAGUGUACCUGAUGGGAAUUCCCGACACCUGAUUUUUACUCUAUCAAUCCUUGAC